GGGGAGGUGGCGGAGCGGUCAAUCGCAGCAGACUGUAAAUCUGCCGCCCUAGUGGCUACGGAGGUUCGAACCCUCCCCUCCCCACCA
This 87-nucleotide transfer RNA is filed under the name Acidobacteria bacterium RIFCSPLOWO2_02_FULL_67_21. RNAcentral's name for it is "tRNA-Tyr". It matches the Rfam family "tRNA". From Rfam's summary of the family: Transfer RNA (tRNA) molecules are approximately 80 nucleotides in length. The record is from RNAcentral. Lineage: Bacteria; Pseudomonadati; Acidobacteriota. RNAcentral also lists the same sequence under 7 other names.